This 700-nucleotide ribosomal RNA is filed under the name uncultured rumen bacterium. Its description in RNAcentral is "bacterial SSU rRNA". It matches the Rfam family "Bacterial small subunit ribosomal RNA", at positions 168 to 869 of the family's 1533-position model. The record is from RNAcentral.
ACUCUAUGUUUUCCAAUGCAGACAUCUAAAAUGGAACAAAGGUUUACCGCUAUAGGAUGGGGAUGCGUCUGAUUAGGUUGUUGGCGGGGUAACGGCCCACCAAGCCUACGAUCAGUAGGGGUUCUGAGAGGAAGGUCCCCCACAUUGGAACUGAGACACGGUCCAAACUCCUACGGGAGGCAGCAGUGAGGAAUAUUGGUCAAUGGGCGAGAGCCUGAACCAGCCAAGUAGCGUGCAGGAUGACGGCCCUAUGGGUUGUAAACUGCUUUUAUACAGGGAUAAAGUGCGCCACGUGUGGCGUUUUGUAGGUACUGUAUGAAUAAGGACCGGCUAAUUCCGUGCCAGCAGCCGCGGUAAUACGGAAGGUCCGGGCGUUAUCCGGAUUUAUUGGGUUUAAAGGGAGCGCAGGCUGAUUAUUAAGCGUGACGUGAAAUGUAGCCGCUCAACGGCUGAACUGCGUCGCGAACUGGUAGUCUUGAGUGAGUUCGAUGUUGGCGGAAUUCGUGGUGUAGCGGUGAAAUGCUUAGAUAUCACGAAGAACUCCGAUUGCGAAGGCAGCCAACAAGGCCUUUACUGACGCUAAAGCUCGAAGGUGCGGGUAUCGAACAGGAUUAGAUACCCUGGUAGUCCGCACGGUAAACGAUGGAUGCCCGCUGUUUGCGAUAUACUGUGAGCGGCCAAGAGAAAUCGUUAAGCAUCC